GGACUUGGCCAUACCUACCUGAUCCGAGGUCACAUUUCAGAAAAAUUUGGGGUGUUUUACGGCUGUGGCCGCGCCGCGCUCCCGGUGCGAGUGUGCAAACUACUGCGCAUGAGAGGCUGCGGCGAGACCGCCACUGUAUUUCGGGGGCGGCCCGGUGAGGGGCCGAUCCCCAACGCCGACCCCCCGGAGGGGUUCGAGGGUUGAAAUGACGCUCGGACAGGCAUGCCCGCCAGAAUACUGGCGGGCGCAAUGUGCGUUCAAAGAUUCGAUGAUUCACUGAAUUCUGCAAUUCACAUUACUUAUCGCAUUUCGCUGCUUUCUUCAUCGAUGCCAGAACCAAGAGAUCCGUUGUUGAAAGUUUUGAUUCAUUUUCGAGACGCCCGCUAGGGUCGCCGAGAAAGGCUCAGAGCAAAAAUAAAACAGAGCCGCGACGGGAGCCGCGACGGAGAGAAAAAAGAGUUUGGAGUUGGUCCUCCGGCGGGCGCCAUGGCAUCCGGGGCUGCGACGCGCCCUGGGCAAGAGAAGCCGGCCGAGGCAACAGAUUGCGAACGCUCUCAUUAUCGUUAGCAGAUAGAACUCUCAU
This 583-nucleotide unclassified non-coding RNA is filed under the name Trichoderma longibrachiatum. RNAcentral describes it as "sequence contains ITS1, 5.8S rRNA gene and ITS2". The record is from RNAcentral. Lineage: Eukaryota; Fungi; Ascomycota; Sordariomycetes; Hypocreales; Hypocreaceae.